UCUUCCGGACCCUAUCCCUCUCCAUUUCUCUCUAAAAUUUCUCUCUCUCUCUCUCUCUCAAAUUGGCCUCUCCAUAGAUUUCUCGUCUUCUCUCACAGAAACCUCGGAAUUCCCUUUCUUCAAAUUCUCGUCUUCACCGGACAUUCCCUGUCCUCCUUCCUUCGAAAGCUCUGUUUCAGAGAAUCUCUUCUCUCCUCAAACAUUCAACAACCUGCAAAUCCCCUUUCUCUCUCUAAAAAAAUCCCACCUAAAAUCUCUUCUCCCCUCAAACAUACAAAAGCCUACAAAUCGCCGUCUCUCUCUCUCUCUAACCCCAGCCAUGUCUGGUUAUAGUGGGGGCUACGCCCCUUCUGCCCCUCCCCUACCUGAAUCUCAAGGGCAUGAGAAACCCACUUCUUCUCACUCUUACGAACAGAACCC
This 420-nucleotide long non-coding RNA is filed under the name Amborella trichopoda. RNAcentral describes it as "long non-coding RNA (ATRI_LNC004740)". The record is from RNAcentral. Lineage: Eukaryota; Viridiplantae; Streptophyta; Magnoliopsida; Amborellales; Amborellaceae.